CCUACGGGUGGCAGCAGUGGGGAAUAUUGGGCAAUGGGCGCAAGCCUGACCCAGCAAUGCCGCGUGAAGGAAGAAGGCCCUCGGGUUGGAAACUUUUUUGAGGGGGGAAGAGCAGAAGACGGUACCCUGAAAACAAGCCACGGCUAAAUACGUGCCAGCAGCCGCGGUAAUACGUAGGUGGCAAGCGUUGUCCGGAUUUACUGGGUGUAAAGGGCGUGUAGCGGGGAAGGCAAAUCAGAUGUGAAAUCUGGAGGCUCAACCUCCAAAUUGCAUUUGAAACUGUUUUUCUUGAGUACUGGAGAGGCAGACGGAAUUCCUUGUGUAGCGGUGAAAUGCGUAGAUAUAAGGAGGAACACCAGUGGCGAAGGCAGUCUGCUGGACAGCAACUGACGGUGAGGCGCGAAAGCGUGGGGAGCAAACAGGAUUAGAUACCCGGGUAGUC
RNAcentral lists this ribosomal RNA (442 nucleotides) under uncultured bacterium. Its description in RNAcentral is "partial 16S ribosomal RNA". It matches the Rfam family "Bacterial small subunit ribosomal RNA", at positions 338 to 795 of the family's 1533-position model. The record is from RNAcentral.